This 1413-nucleotide unclassified non-coding RNA is filed under the name Hevea brasiliensis (rubber tree). Lineage: Eukaryota; Viridiplantae; Streptophyta; Magnoliopsida; Malpighiales; Euphorbiaceae. The record is from RNAcentral.
AAAGCAAUGAAAGAUUGCUAUUUUUACUAUAAGAUAAAGAGUAUUAAAAUGCUGAAAUCACAAGAUUUGCAAAUUCCAACAGUAACAAUAUCUACACAUGGACUAAUCAAGAAUCAGUCUCAUUGUGCUUUCUUUGUUAUAAUAAUAGUGGAAUCUAGGCCCAGCUUGUGCAAACAACGAUAGAUCGAUCGGUACCUACUACCUCCCACUAGCACAAUCUCGAUGCGCACUUGAACCAAUGACUAUACUACUGUUUUACAUUUGCAAACCAAUACCAACUUGACAGUAACCAACAUAUAUGUACAGAAUCUUGGGCCAUUGCAAUUCAUAUGUGCCUCAAAUGGAAAGGUGUGUUGCAUAUCUGUACAACUUCACCUCCAUCAAAGCCAACUUUUUGAUAUGUUCAGACAACUAACUGAAACCACUUUUAUUUGUUUCUCCUCAGUGUCAUCAACUGCAAAUAACCUCAACUGAGAGUUUCUUCAUAACAUGUGGACAUGGAUCACCUCCAAAGAUCUCUGGUGUUACAGGUACUGAGCACGAGUUUUGCCCGAUGCAAUACCUUUCAAAAGCAUCAUAUGAGUGGAAGGCGUGGCAGCUUCCUUCACGGAAGCUUCCGCAGACCCCUUGUGGUGUUCCAAAGCUUGCAAAUUUGAUUGAAGUAAUCUUCUGACCAGAAGCACACGAGAGGUGAGCUUUAGGUCUCAGUGGUUUGUCAACUUUACCAGAUGCUUGCAUUUGCCAAUUCACCAACUGUGGUUGCCAUUCGUUUAUAUCUGCACAAACACUUGCAACUUCUCUUUUUACCAAAGAGAUUCCAUGAGGCUCUCCUCCCCAUUCCUCAAAUAGAACUAACAAAUUUCCAGUAGGAUACAGCCAAGAACGGGGAACAUGAUACCAUCGUUGUGAAGCCUCUCCACAGUUACUUAGGCAUUUUUUCUCAUUAAACCAGCCUGCAUAGUUACAGGCACCGCAGUUACCAGAUGCUUUAUAUCCAGGCCAAUAGCGUCCGAGGCUUUGACCAUUUAUCCACACUUGUCCUUUGCCCAUGGUAUUCAAGUCUAAAGCCAAAGGAUCAUUUCCAGCUGGAGCAUUAAAAGUGCUCUUGUACCAUGUGAGUGGCUGUCUCUGAGCCACUAAAGAACCCUCGACCCACUCAACUGACGAGCUACCACUGAGUGAAUGGAGGCUCAAGGCUUCUCCUUUUAGACCAACCUUGUAAGACCAUUUCUGCCAUGUUAAAUCUCUUUUCCCCUCGUCAAGACCAGUUAGUGAGACUGGCCCAAGAACACCAGCAUUCCAUGUCUCAAAAUGUGGGCCGAUAUUCGGAAGGCCAACAGCAAUGCUCAGUAGAGAAAUCUUGUUAACACCUGCUCUCAGAUUUACGGCUUUACUGAAAGUUAGUUUCGGUUU